GUUUCCGUAGGUGAACCUGCAGAUGGAUCAUCGUCGAUACCUUAUAGGUACAUGCUGAUCACGAGAUGCCGAUAAUCAUGGAAUCAGGCUUGUUCUUGGUUCCAGUCGGUGUCUCACCCCAUCUAAGCUCUCGGUGAGGUGUCUAUUCUUGAUUGGAGCCGCUUUGAGUGACGGCAAUGAUAGUUGGGUAUGUUCCCCGUGAGGGUAGAGCAUAGACUUUAUGAACAGAGCUGGGCUGUCGCCUCACCAAAAACCAUCGAUAACUGGUGGCUGAGUGAGAAAUCACUGGAUCUGCUAUGCAGGGAGCCUUAAUGAGUUGGUCUUCACCGACACAACCGCCACUAUCGGUAAUCUAUUCCCAAUUAACUUGUUUCUAGUAAAAGGCUAAAUUAGUCAGUGGAAAAUAGCCUUAGCGAUGGAUCGGUUGAUUCGCGUAUCGAUGAAAAACGCAGCUAGCUGCGUUAUUUACCACGAAUUGCAGACGCUUAGAGUGGUGAAGUUUUGAACGCACAGCGCCGUUGGGUUUUCCCUUCGGCACGUCUGGCUCAGGGUUGUUUAAUAGACUUCGAUAUUGCUAGGAAGGCAGCAAUAUCGUGCACCGAACGGUGAUAGUGUCUAUAAAAUAGUGGUGCAUACCCCGUUUUAGGGUAAAAUAAAGGUCGUAAACUGAAACUUCUUCCGCCCGAGAAGUUAUAGGUAAUACUUAUGGAUGUGCCAUGUAUGAAAUAUGACGUGGUUAUAUACAUAAAUAGUAUUUCCUUGAAGUCUCAUUAUGCAACCUGAGCUCAGUCGUGAUUACCCGCUGAACUUAAGCAUAU
RNAcentral lists this ribosomal RNA (818 nucleotides) under Heterorhabditis indica. Its description in RNAcentral is "eukaryotic LSU rRNA". The stretch from base 405 to 554 matches the Rfam family "5.8S ribosomal RNA". The record is from RNAcentral. Lineage: Eukaryota; Metazoa; Nematoda; Chromadorea; Rhabditida; Heterorhabditidae.